CGCAAUUUGGCUCCAGAGUACCUUGUUGGUUCACCCAAAGGAAUCAACUGCUCUGUGAAGAGACAGUGGGGUCUGAAGCAAUGCUCUGCUGGAGGAACUUGGAGGGGUCAAGCAGCAUCUAUGGUGGAAAGGUGAACUAGAGAGUGACAUCCCCCUGCUGUUGACUUUGCAGAUUGACCUUUGACCUGAGGAAUCAGGUUCAACUCAGGCAAAAGCAGUUUCGAGGUGGAGUGAUUAUGAUGUAGUCCCAUUAAAUCCCAAUGUUUUUCUGAUAGACUUCAGCUACUCUGAGAUAAACCAGUUCUCUCCAGUUAUACUGCAAACCAAGGAACAGAAAUAAUGAUCUUUCUGGCUACCAGACUGCGUUUAAAAAACAAUGCCAUCAAACAGAUAAUGCAAGUGUUUCAGCUGAAUUGUUUUUAAAUAGUGGAUGGAGCAAAACAUUAAAAGAGUAUUUUAAUAUGACAAUUUAUCUGUAAUAUCUGUAUCAAUAAUGGGACUAGUGACUAAUGAACAUAUCGAUACAGCUAUAAAGAAUGGAAGACAGUGACUAUAUUUCAUCAGGAGUUUGAAGAGAUUUGGUUUGUCAAUUAACAUAGUCUAAAACUUCUAUAGAUGUACUGUGGACAGCAUUCCGACAGGUUGUCUGGUAUGGGGGGAGGGGUCUACUCCACAGGACUGAAAGAAUCAACAGAGAGUCAUAAAAUUAGUCAUCUCCACCUUGGGCAUUUGCCUCCAUAGUACCCAAGACAUCUUCAAGGAGAAAACACGAGGAAAUCUGGAGAUGCUGGAAAUUCAAACAACACACACAAAAUGCUGGUGGAACACAGCAGGCCAGGCAGCAUCUAUAAGGAGCAGCACUGUCGACAUUUCGGGCCGAGACCCUUCGUCAGGACUGACUGAAAGGAAAGAUAGUGAGAGAUCUUCAAGGAGAGGUGUCUCAGAAAGGGACGUCCAUUAUUAAGGACCCCCAUCACCCAAGACAUGCCCUCUUCUCAUUGUUACCACCAGGAAGGAGGUACCGAAGCCUGAAGGCACACACUCAGCGAUUCAGGAACAGCUUCUUCCCCUCUGCCAUACAAUUCCUAAAUGGGCAUUGAACCCUUGAACACUACCUCACUUUUUAAAAAAUAUUAUUUCUAUUUUUGCACUAUUUUUAAUCUAUCCAAUAUGUAUACUUACUGUAAUUGAUUUACUUCUUUUUCCUUUCUAUGUUAUCAUGUAAUGCAUUGAAUUGUUGCUGCUACAUUAACAAAUUUCAUGACACAUGCCAGUGAUAAUAAACCUGAUUCUGAUUUUAGGUGAAAAGCAAUGAAGUUGCCUGAAAAUUGGAUGUUGAAAUAGGAAUUAAGUAUUAAUUUUUAGUUCAGAUUUAUAGUGGUUGAUAAAUUAUAACCAGUAUUUUCCAAUGUCUUCAAUGUAAUAAAAAGAAUGAAUAAUGAAGGAAGUGUAUUUAGAUAACCCCUUUCAUGGUCAUAACAUGAUAAGACCAGAAGACAUGGAAGCAGAAUUUGCCCACACAACUCAUUGAGUCUGCUCCAUCAUUGAAUCAACUCUGAUUUGUAUUUCUCAACCCCAUUCUCCUGCCUUCUCCCUGAA
Molecule: long non-coding RNA, 1599 nt
Organism: Hypanus sabinus (Atlantic stingray)
Lineage: Eukaryota; Metazoa; Chordata; Chondrichthyes; Myliobatiformes; Dasyatidae
Exons: 3
Source: RefSeq, a predicted model, not a curated record